This 163-nucleotide ribosomal RNA is filed under the name Beauveria bassiana. RNAcentral describes it as "5.8S ribosomal RNA". It matches the Rfam family "5.8S ribosomal RNA". Rfam says of the family: 5.8S ribosomal RNA (5.8S rRNA) is a component of the large subunit of the eukaryotic ribosome. Lineage: Eukaryota; Fungi; Ascomycota; Sordariomycetes; Hypocreales; Cordycipitaceae. The record is from RNAcentral.
AAUUAAAACUUUCAACAACGGAUCUCUUGGCUCUGGCAUCGAUGAAGAACGCAGCGAAAUGCGAUAAGUAAUGUGAAUUGCAGAAUCCAGUGAAUCAUCGAAUCUUUGAACGCACAUUGCGCCCGCCAGCAUUCUGGCGGGCAUGCCUGUUCGAGCGUCAUUU